UAGGGAAUCUUCCACAAUGGGCGAAAGCCUGAUGGAGCAACGCCGCGUGUGUGAUGAAGGGUUUCGGCUCGUAAAACACUGUUGUAAGAGAAGAAUGACAUUGNGAGUAACUGUUCAAUGUGUGACGGUAUCUUACCAGAAAGGAACGGCUAAAUACGUACCAG
This 164-nucleotide ribosomal RNA is filed under the name uncultured bacterium. Its description in RNAcentral is "partial 16S rRNA". It matches the Rfam family "Bacterial small subunit ribosomal RNA", at positions 355 to 511 of the family's 1533-position model. The record is from RNAcentral.